RNAcentral lists this transfer RNA (84 nucleotides) under Ferruginibacter sp. Its description in RNAcentral is "tRNA-Leu". It matches the Rfam family "tRNA". From Rfam's summary of the family: Transfer RNA (tRNA) molecules are approximately 80 nucleotides in length. The record is from RNAcentral. Lineage: Bacteria; Pseudomonadati; Bacteroidota; Chitinophagia; Chitinophagales; Chitinophagaceae.
GCGGCGAUGGCGAAAUUGGUAGACGCACUACCUUGAGGUGGUAACGCUCGCAAGGGCAUGGGAGUUCGAAUCUCCUUUGCCGCA